GCGAGUCAUUGUAGCAUACAAGGCGGACGGCUCAGUAACACGUAGUCAACCUCACUCGUGGACGUGGAUAACCUCGGGAAACUGAGAAUAAACCACGAUAGAUCAUAGUGCCUGGAAUGGCUUAUGGUCCAAACAGUUUACUGCCAUGGGAUGGGACUGCGGCCUAUCAGCUUGUUGGUGAGGUAAUGGCCCACCAAGGCGAUUACAGGUACGGGCUCUGAGAGGAGAAGCCCGGAGAUGGGUACUGAGACACGGACCCAGGCCCUAUGGGGCGCAGCAGGCGAGAAACCUUAGCAAUGUGCGAAAGCACGACUGGGUCAGUCCGAGUGAUUCCUGAUAAAGGAGUCUUUUGCUUGUCCUAAAAGCACAGGUGAAUAAGGGGUGGGCAAGUCUGGUGUCAGCCGCCGCGGUAAUACCAGCACCUCGAGUGGUCAGGACGUUUAUUGGGCCUAAAGCAUCCGUAGCCGGCUCUGCAAGUCUUCGGUUAAAUCCACCUGCUCAACAAAUGGGCUGCUGGAGAUACUACAGAGCUAGGGAGUGGGAGAGGCAGACGGUAUUCAGUGGGUAGGGGUAAAAUCCUCUGAUCCAUUGAGGACCACCAGUGGCGAAGGCGGUCUGCCAGAACACGUUCGACGGUGAGGGAUGAAAGCUGGGGGAGCAAACCGGAUUAGAUACCCGGGUAGUCCCAGCUGUA
This 694-nucleotide ribosomal RNA is filed under the name uncultured archaeon. RNAcentral's name for it is "bacterial SSU rRNA". It matches the Rfam family "Archaeal small subunit ribosomal RNA", at positions 53 to 755 of the family's 1478-position model. The record is from RNAcentral.